Molecule: ribosomal RNA, 433 nt
Filed under: uncultured bacterium
Lineage: Bacteria
Description: partial 16S ribosomal RNA
Rfam family: Bacterial small subunit ribosomal RNA
Source: RNAcentral
AACGAACGCUGGCGGCAUGCCUAACACAUGCAAGUCGAACGAGACCUUCGGGUCUAGUGGCGCACGGGUGCGUAACGCGUGGGAACCUGCCCUUAGGUUCGGAAUAACUCCCCGAAAGGGGUGCUAAUACCGGAUAAUGUCUUCGGACCAAAGAUUUAUCGCCUUUGGAUGGGCCCGCGUUGGAUUAGCUAGUUGGUAGGGUAAAAGCCUACCAAGGCGACGAUCCAUAGCUGGUCUGAGAGGAUGAUCAGCCACACUGGGACUGAGACACGGCCCAGACUCCUACGGGAGGCAGCAGUGGGGAAUAUUGGAAAAUGGGCGAAAGCCUGAUCCAGCAAGGCCGGGUGAGUGAUGAAGGCCGUAGGGUUGUAAAGCUCUUUUACCCGGGAUGAUAAUGACAGUACCGGGAGAAUAAGCUCCGGCUAACUCCGUG